CUAAUUCGAACCAACCUCUAUCAGCACAUUUCGUAGCUAGGGUUUUGAAACACAAACCACCCCUCUCCCUCUUCUUCAAUUAUUUGACACAACAUUUAUACUUCAUCAGGCAUUGUGGACCUUGUCAUGCCUUUUUGGUGAAACAAAUUUCACCUUUACUAUCCUUGACAGAUGUCUAUUUUCAAAAUGUUGGCAAAGCUUCACAAAUUUUUGAUUAAUUCGAAGAAAAACUCAUACAAACUAAGUCAAAUUUGACAAAAUAUGAUGAGCUUUGGUUGAACUUCAAACGUUCAAAUUUUUAAGAUUUUCAUUUGACCAAUUUAGAAGUUCAAAAAUGAUUUUCCCUCUCAACAAAUGCAGAACCCUAAUUUUCCCUACAGAUACUUGCAACCAAAGUCCAUUUCAUGUUUUGGGAGGCUGCCAUAGUCCUCUCAAAACAACCAUUUAGUCAUUGUCUCUAACCUCUUAACAAACAAUUUUUUACUAGCCCUUUAGUUGGUUUUGUGUGUUUUCUCGGACCAUAACAGAUACUAAUUUCACUUGAUCUACUAUUUUUCUUGUUUUUCGAGACAACUUGGAGUCCGGAGUCCAUCGAAUUUAAGAUCAACCACCUAUGUCUCAAGUUCAAUACCCUAUAGAAGAUUUCGUACACUUUGCAAUCUCAAAAGAGGGGAAAGUGGAUGACGGUGUUCAAGUUGUUCAUCUUUGGGUCCCGCACUAGAGGUAAUCUUACUUGUGGCUAGAGCUUGGAUUUGACUAUUCCUGAGCUUGGUGAGUCCUCAUGUUUCAAGGAUGGAUUUCCUUACGUCUAGUUUCUUUCAUGUACUUUCCCUUUUUGGACAUGGUGUAUUAGUUCGGCCCUAUUUCAUUAAUUGUAAUAUAUGUCUAUAAUGAUAUAAAGUGCCUACACUUUCGCUUUCUUGAAUGAAAAUAAUUUUAGACUUGAAAUAUUAUUUUACU
Molecule: long non-coding RNA, 960 nt
Organism: Solanum pennellii
Lineage: Eukaryota; Viridiplantae; Streptophyta; Magnoliopsida; Solanales; Solanaceae
Exons: 3
Source: RefSeq, a predicted model, not a curated record